CCUACGGGUGGCAGCAGUGGGGAAUAUUGCGCAAUGGGCGAAAGCCUGACGCAGCGACGCCGCGUGAGGGAUGAAGGUCUUCGGAUCGUAAACCUCUGUCAGCAGGGAAGAACCGUCACUGUGCUAAUCAGCAGUGAAUUGACGGCACCUGCAAAGGAAGCACCGGCUAACUCCGUGCCAGCAGCCGCGGUAAUACGGAGGGUGCGUGCGUUAAUCGGAAUUUCUGGGCGUAAAGCGCUCGCAGGUGGUAUGGCAAGUCAAGGGGGAAAUCCCCGCGCUCAACGUGGGAACUGCCUUUGAAACUGGCAAACUGGAGUGUGUGAGAGGAUAGUGGAAUGCCAGGUGUAGGAGUGAAAUCCGUAGAUAUCUGGAGGAACAUCAGUGGCGAAGGCGACUAUCUGGCACAUAACUGACGCUGAGGAGCGAAAGCGUGGGUAGCAAACAGGAUUAGAUACCCGAGUAGUC
RNAcentral lists this ribosomal RNA (465 nucleotides) under uncultured bacterium. Its description in RNAcentral is "partial 16S ribosomal RNA". It matches the Rfam family "Bacterial small subunit ribosomal RNA", at positions 338 to 795 of the family's 1533-position model. The record is from RNAcentral.